AUGUACCACGCGGACACUGCGGUUCUGAGCGCGCCGUCCGCGCCCACCUGACCGCUGCUGGCGACGCGUUGUUCGCC
This is a small RNA of Xanthomonas oryzae pv. oryzae, 77 nucleotides long. It matches the Rfam family "Xanthomonas sRNA sX9". Lineage: Bacteria; Pseudomonadati; Pseudomonadota; Gammaproteobacteria; Lysobacterales; Lysobacteraceae. The record is from Rfam.